This is a non-coding RNA of Podarcis muralis (Common wall lizard), 1183 nucleotides long. NCBI's taxonomy places the organism in Eukaryota, Metazoa, Chordata, Lepidosauria, Squamata, Lacertidae. The record is from RefSeq and is a predicted model, not a curated record.
AGAGGGAGGCUUCGAAGGCUACAGAACUUCACCGGGUUGGGGGGGGGGAGAGGAAGGCCUCCUAAAACUAUUGCAAAAUGGUGAAAAGUUUCUGGAAAGGCAAGAAGAAUUUUUAUUAAGUCAGAGUAAGAUGAUAAAUUGCCUAAAGGCAGGAUGGAGCAGAGCAGAGGAGCAAUUUUGCAGUGGGGAAGCAGGGAGGGCUGCUGUGUUUGACACGGAACAAACCCUUGUUGCUGCCAGAAGUGUUUUCUCAAUGUUCUUUGUGCUAGUUAUCUAGCAAAGGCAGAAUAAAGGUUGGGGGGGGGAGUGCCGUCAAUCUGCCUCAUGAAAGAAUCUCUUGGAAAACUCAUCCCUCUGGCUCCUCCUGAAUUGAUGACCUCAGUCCAUGUGCCAGAGUGCAUGAGCGCCAUUACUGCUGGAGCGCUUCCUACGAGACGGAGCCAACCUUUACUACAGAGAACUGGAGCUAUAACUAUGCAGACUUUUGGCAACAUUGCGUUUAAGAAAGCUGAAGAGAGAAUUUGGGUGUUCAAAAAUGGAACCGUUCCAAAAUACAGGCAUCUCUCCAGUUUUCAAUGCUCAUUUUUAUGAGACUGACGCAGCACUUAAUGCAAGCACACCCAGAUAUUCCACAAGAAGUACUUCUACGGUUCAGAAACCCACCCUGUAAAGAGCACUAAUGCAAAGCAUAUUGCCACAUUUGCUGCAAAGCAAAGAGUGCUGUGAUCCUCAAAAUCUGAAUCCCUCCCCUCUCUCACACACAUCCAUAGACCAUAUGGUUCUAAUCAAAACUUCUGGAAGAAAAAGAGGGGGACAGCAUACCAAAGUUUGAAUCUAAGAAAGGAAGUUCUGUGGUGUUUUCGAGCGGAUCUAAAUUGGGCAUCAAAAACACACGAUGUUGCCUAAUAAAAUAGGAAAAUUAAGACAAGGCUCUCACUUGGCUAUAAUGUUUAAUUGCGCAUACAGAAUAACUUCAGGACUCAGAAAUGCUGGGCUCAGUGUUUUGAUUUAAUGCCCCUUUUAAUCAUGCUGAAAUCUGUGGUCUAUAUAUGAAAAAUCUGAAGUUCAGUCAGCCAUAAAGUACUAUAAGGGGGAGAAAUGAAUUGGAAGCCUGCAUGUGCCAUUGAGUCAGAUUUGGGACAGAUGCAUUUGUAAAAAAUAAAAAGGCACUUGUUUAUUUGUA